GACCACGAAAUGUCACUUAAACAUACGAGA
Molecule: non-coding RNA, 30 nt
Filed under: Rattus norvegicus (Norway rat)
Lineage: Eukaryota; Metazoa; Chordata; Mammalia; Rodentia; Muridae
Source: RNAcentral